AACGAACGCUGGCGGCAUGCCUAACACAUGCAAGUCGAACGAGACCUUCGGGUCUAGUGGCGCACGGGUGCGUAACGCGUGGGAAUCUGCCCUUCGGUUCGGAAUAACAGUUAGAAAUGACUGCUAAUACCGGAUAAUGACGUAAGUCCAAAGAUUUAUCGCCGAGGGAUGAGCCCGCGUAGGAUUAGCUUGUUGGUGGGGUAAUGGCCCACCAAGGCGACGAUCCUUAGCUGGUCGAGAGGAUGAUCA
RNAcentral lists this ribosomal RNA (249 nucleotides) under uncultured bacterium. Its description in RNAcentral is "partial 16S ribosomal RNA". It matches the Rfam family "Bacterial small subunit ribosomal RNA", at positions 29 to 306 of the family's 1533-position model. The record is from RNAcentral.